UCGCCUCUUGCAACAACAAAAAUAGAGGUCCCGCCUGCCCUGUGACUAUAAGUUUAACGGCCGCGGUAUUUUGACCGUGCGAAGGUAGCGCAAUCACUUGUYUUUUAAAUGGGGACCUGUAUGAAUGGCACGACGAGGGCUUAACUGUCUCCUUUUUCCAGUCAAUGAAAUUGAUCUCCCCGUGCAGAAGCGGGGAUACUUACAUAAGACGAGAAGACCCUAUGGAGCUUUAGACACCAAAGUAGAUCAUGUUAAGCAUCCCUAAACAAAGGGCCAAACCAGAUAAAACCCUACUCUAAUGUCUUUGGUUGGGGCGACCGCGGGGAAACACAAAACCCCCACGUGGAAUGGGAAUACUUUUCCUACAACUUAGAGCCCCCGCUCUAAUAAACAGAAAUUCUGACCAAUAAGAUCCGGCAACGCCGAUCAACGGACCGAGUUACCCUAGGGAUAACAGCGCAAUCCCCUUUUAGAGCCCAUAUCGACAAGGGGGUUUACGACCUCGAUGUUGGAUCAGGACAUCCUAAUGGUGCAGCCGCUAUUAAGGGUUCGUUUGUUCAACGAUUAAAG
Molecule: ribosomal RNA, 570 nt
Filed under: Naso thynnoides (oneknife unicornfish)
Lineage: Eukaryota; Metazoa; Chordata; Actinopteri; Acanthuriformes; Acanthuridae
Description: partial 16S ribosomal RNA
Rfam family: Bacterial large subunit ribosomal RNA
Source: RNAcentral